RNAcentral lists this unclassified non-coding RNA (84 nucleotides) under Xanthomonas citri pv. fuscans. Its description in RNAcentral is "isrK". The record is from RNAcentral. Lineage: Bacteria; Pseudomonadati; Pseudomonadota; Gammaproteobacteria; Lysobacterales; Lysobacteraceae.
GUCGCCGCACAAUCGGCGACCGGGUUUAGCAGCCUGACUCAACGGCGCACCAGCGCCCAUCGAUCGAUGCACGGCGCUUUUUUU